CACCACUUACAACUUAGAAGCUAUUAAAACAGAAACUAACUCAAAAAAUGGUUGCCAUGGAGAUGUGUGACCAUUGUUGCAUGUUUCGUCAAACUAUAGCUCAUUUAUGCGACGGUGUAUAUUUCAGCUGUUGUAUCGAUUGUGGGAAGGUUCUAAGUGAGUCUACAAGUUUGAAGACAGAUAUAAGUGAUGUAAUCAUGGAGACAAGAAGAAAGACCAUUGGUGUGAAAAAAACUAAAAAGAAAAUAACAUGACACGAGCACCCAUUUCUUGAUAAAUGAUAUCUACUAUAUUGGAGAAGCAUAGUUCUUGUGGCUUUCAUUUGAUUUAGAUUUGCUUGACAUUAUUUAGAGUGGUGAUUGUUCCUAAACUAUUUUCAAUAAGUAGUUUCAACUUGUAAUACUACUCUUAAUAACUAUUCUUUGGUGUAAUAAUCAAUUAUUCUACUCUUAAUUAUGUUUUCAUGAUACAAGUCUACCUUCAAUUUUAUAAACCAAUGGUGAAUACUACCAAGAAAUCU
This is a long non-coding RNA of Trifolium pratense (red clover), 520 nucleotides long. RefSeq lists it as uncharacterized. Lineage: Eukaryota; Viridiplantae; Streptophyta; Magnoliopsida; Fabales; Fabaceae. The record is from RefSeq and is a predicted model, not a curated record. The transcript is spliced from 3 exons.